This 253-nucleotide ribosomal RNA is filed under the name uncultured bacterium. RNAcentral describes it as "partial 16S ribosomal RNA". It matches the Rfam family "Bacterial small subunit ribosomal RNA", at positions 524 to 776 of the family's 1533-position model. The record is from RNAcentral.
UACGUAGGUGGCAAGCGUUAUCCGGAUUUAUUGGGCGUAAAGGGAACGCAGGCGGUCUUUUAAGUCUAAUGUGAAAGCCUUCGGCUUAACCGGAGUAGUGCAUUGGAAACUGGGAGACUUGAGUGCAGAAGAGGAGGGUGGAACUCCAUGUGUAGCGGUGAAAUGCGUAGAUAUAUGGAAGAACACCAGUGGCGAAAGCGGCUCUCUGGUCUGUAACUGACGCUGAGGUUCGAAAGCGUGGGUAGCAAACAGG